CUUCGUCUAAAUUAACUUUUACAGAAUUCUUUAAUGUAUUAAUUAAACACACAACAGUUUUCAGCUCGUUUAAUUGUAUUCUAUUGUGGUAAAUAAACGCUCACUAACAAACAAUGACGAUAAACGCUACAUUUGCAACGAUAACAUAGAGACUUUACCAUGGGGACACCAUAAAAUUCCCGUUCUUCAGGAACAAACCAAAGAGAACAAAAAGGAUAAUAAAGCUUGAUGUUAUGUAAAAUCGUGAUUAGUCUUUGGGUAUUAUUUAUUAAUCGUUUCAUUCAAUGUUAACAUUACAUUUCAUUUUAUUGUGUCGAAUAAAAAGAAACUAGUUUGGGCGAGCGGUCUAAGGCGCUAGAUUUAAGCUCUAGUUCUUACAAAGAGCGUAGGUUCGACUCCUACACCUAGCAUUUUUUUAAAGAGGGUUUUUUUUGGGUAUGCUCCAAACAAAUCAAGUUAGACAACCAACAAUACUGUUUUAAUUUAUUUCCUUACUAUAUGACGCUUCCCAAGUAAGACAACCAACAAAUCCAUAUCGUAUUUGGUUAGUUUAGAGGAGGAACUUCAUGGUUAGUCAUGUGAUUGAUCGCUACGUUCCGAACAGAGAUAUUCAAAUUCCCCACGUAGAAAACUGCGCAUGCGCACAAAUUACCCCACAUGUCACUUUUUUAGUGCGUUCCUUUUGUAACAAGUGCAUAUGCAACCCCAAUUGUCACCAUUGUCGAAUUCUUGUCAACGACCCCUUAAAAAUCACCUCUUUCGAACCUUCCCAGAAAAUCCCAACAAAUAGAUCCAUAUACUUCCUUUGUUCCAUCUCGCUAUAUCCCGUCCUCUCUCCGGUUUGCGGAAUUAAGGUCGAAACACAAAAGAUCGAAAAUUAUCAAAAAAUCGAAAAUACCAAAGGCCGAAUAACAAAAUAUCGAAAAUACAUUGCGUCGAAGCACAAAAAAUCGAAAACUAAAUACCGAAAUACAAAAGAUCGAAACUAUAAAACAUUGUAUUUCAAAUCAUCAAAUGAACAAGAGAAUAUUUUAUUUAUCAAAAAAAUUAUUACUGUUAUAAAUUGUAAGCAAUUUGGUGUAAAACUUGCAUGUAAUAAUCUUCGGUCUCGUUCUACUUUUGGGUAAAUUGCUUGACAACGUUCGCUAAUCUAUUGUUCUUGUCUUUGUACCGCUUAGUCUCUGGCUCCUUAUAUCCUACCAAUUGAUGGUCCAAUUUCAUGUUCUGGUAUUUUUGCUCUUCCAAUAAUUCUUCUAGAAAUUUCCAGAUAGAAGGAUUCUUCGCCUGAAUCCGUCUGUGGAAACUACUAUGCCAGCCCUCUGCAAUAUUGUUCGUUCUAGGUUGUUCGUUAAGUGUUCUGGCAUGGCAACUCCAUAAACUGUGUUCAAACAGCGGUUUCUUAUUGUUUUUUUUUUCGCAUUUACCUACAAAUUGUAACACAUUCUUAGUUAGUGAAUAUAACUCAUCUGCUGUAAACGUAGAACGGAAGAAAUAGCCUGUAGGUAUGGUAUACCUUGUGGAUAAUCCAUGUAUCACAAAACAAAGCAUUUUGUUUGCUACUUUAGGUUUUUCACCGAUUGUUUUUUCAGGUUUUGAUGGGUCAAGACCAUAAAUUCGAUCUUCUGAUCGGCUAUAAUGUAGUUUUUCAGUUUAUAGCCUUUAGGACUGCAGAAUCUCCAUACUGUACACAUACGGACGGUAAUUUCUGACCAUCUUGGUAUUUUUUUAUAAUUUUUUAGAAUGUCUAAAAUAAAUAAAGAUUUUUCAUCUGCAUUGGUUAUAUUCUCAAUAAUUUUCUCAAUGUUUCAUUUUUUUAAUGCAGUGACCUGUUCUUCCAAAUGAUUUACUUUUGAUAAGACAUUGCGAAUAUUUUGCCUGCAUUCUCUUAAGCUGUAACUUUAAUACCUUACAUUGAUAUUUGAGAUCCUGAAACUCUUUGUUUUCAUCAGACUGCAUAUGUGAAAUUUGAUUAGAAUUUUAUUGUUCUAAAACUACUACAGUCGGGUUGGGACCCGGUAGGAUGUUAGUAGAAUCAGUAAUCUGAAAUAUAUAAGGCUAUAGUUAGUAAAGUGUAUGUUGCUAACAGAAAUUUGUUUUUAUCUACGUUAAAAGUGGGAAGUGCGUUUUUGCAAAGGCGCAUACGUUUUGCUUUGGCAUCGAAACAGUCUCUUCCAAAAUGGUUGGAACAUAAUACUGUGUAAUCACUUAUUUUACUCGAGUCUACAAUAAUGUUUUAACGAGUUGUUACAUUUUUUCCAUUUUACAAACCAUUAACUAAUUUUAACGACUCCAUCCAUUUGUUUCGCACAUUAACAUCAUUUGGAAUACUAAAAAAUGGCUUUUCUGCAUUUCCGCAAACAAAACAUUUUCGUCCCAUCGUGGAAAUAUCAAAUGAAUUUGAAAAAGUCAAAUUUACAUUUGAAAAUGAUAGUUCACGUAGAGCUAUGGAGACGGCGCAGUCUUAUGUUCACCGCGGCCUACUUUGCGGGAACAACUUUUUACAAAAUCGAAACGGCCUUAUUUCGAGAGAUUGAUGAAGUUGGUGAUGAUCAACGCGCGGAAUUGUAUCUCAUACGCUAGAACCAGUGCUGACGCGGCGAUAGUUUGAUUACAAAUGUAUUUUUAUUUGGACUAUAUCAACAUAAUAUAACAUUUCAAGAUCACAAAUCUGUGGCCCUGUGGUUGAAAAAUUAAAAAGGGAAUCGAGUAUUAUUAUUUGAAGUAAUAUAUAGUAAUGUAGACUACUCGCCGUAAAACACACCUUACUUCAACUGGGGGAUUGCAGCGGUGAGAUAAAAUCCUGCGUACUGAUGAUGAAUUGAUGAUAUUCAAACUUCGCGCAGACAUCGAGCGGACAUAGGAUAAACCACAACCUGGAGUGCGUUCAGAAAUGAGACAAGGAUCAUACUAGCGUAACUCCUGCCGUUCAAAAUAAUUCAGAAUGAUCCAAAGUUAUGACGUCAGAAACGUUCAAAAAUUACCAGAGUGAUACCCAUGGUCAACACCCACCUCGGAUGAUGGGCGAUAGAGAGUGAAAAGGCGGUUCUGACAAACGUGACUUAUUUGAUUUCAAAUUUUUUAUACUUUGAGGUUAUGAUUACUCGGAAUCCGUUGCAUCAUAUUUUGUUCGUUUGUGUCAAAGAGAGAUAUGGCAAAUAAAUACCGCCUAAUCGUCAACGAAGACAACCAGCCCAUCGUUGAUGGCAAUAAUAUAUUACUGCAACAAAUAGAAGACGACACAUGUGUUUCUACUCUAACGGAGGAGAUAAAAAGUUAUUUUAACAUAACAACUGCUGCUGCUGUGUCCACAUGUACUGCUGAUGAGGGAAAUUGUAAUGGACGUGUAUGGUGUCGAAAUGGAAUAUUGAUGCCGAUUGCACAAGUGAAACAAUUCCAAGCGCAGUUUUUAUCCACCACCAUGAAAAAUGACAAGGUAUGGCGAAAUAUUGCUGAAGAAAUGGCCAAACAUAAAUUUCAUCUUUCACCCAGUCAGUGUCGUGACAAGUGGAAAUAUUUAAAGCAAAGGUAAAAAUAGUAUAUUAUUAACCAAGAUUGUGAAGGCAGUCAUUCUAGACCGAGCGCAAAUUAGAACCCGAGACGCGCAGCGUCGAGGGCUAUAAAGCGCGAGGUCUAGAAUUGGCUUCACAAACGUGGUUAAUAUACUAUUUUUUCCACUAGUAGCCCAUUUGAGGUUUGCAAAUUUUCAAAAUGUUUUUUCUGAUAUGCAUCAAUAAAAACGUGUACUCACGUCAUUUUAGUAAGCUUUGGAAUUUUGUUAUUUUUUGACAGUCCAAAACUUUUGUUUCAAUUUCCACCAUAUUUCCCGUUUUAAAUAAUUUUUUCUGUGAAAAAUGUUGGAAGGUGAACCAUCAUGUACCCCUCCUGAAAUAAAAGAGACGGCACUACGCAUGUAAGAACAGCUACUUCCAGAAAAAUCAAAAAAACUGUACCUGAAGAUAUAUUCAGAAUUUAAGGAUUGGUGCUUGGGAAAAAAAUUGGGACAACGUCUGAAAAUGUGCUUAUGGUAUAUUUCAACGAACAGGCCAAAACGAAAAAGGCAUCCACAUUAUGGGCAACGUAUUCAAUGCUCAAAUCCACAAUUUCCCUAAAAGAAAACAUUAGAAUCGAAAAUUACCCACGACUUAUGUCAUUUCUCAAGCGACAAAAUGCAGGUUACAAACCUAAAAAAUCUUUCGUGUUUUCGCAAGAAGAAAUCACUCGAUUUUUAACAGAAGCUCCUGAUAAAGAUUUUUUAUCAAAAAAGGUGAUCUGUGUUAUGGGAGUGGCUGGUGCUUGCCGCACUGAUGAGUUAUGUAAUAUAAAGAUGAAAGACAUUAUAGUCAAGGAGGAUAUUAUCAUUGUGAAUAUACCAACCAGCAAAAAUGGAGCGUCGCGAAAAUUUGUUGUGAUAGAACCUCUGUGGACUGAGAUAAUUCGAAAGUACACUUCAAAAAGACCUACCCCUGAUAUGCCAAAAUUAUUGAUUGGUUUUCGUGGGGAUAAACCUACAAGACAAAAUAUUGGUCACAAUACAAUCAGCAAAACUCCAAAUACUAUAGCGAAAUUCCUAGGAUUAAAAAACCCAGACCAGUACACAGGACACUCAUUCCGUCGUACUUCCGCGACAAUUUUGGCUGAAAAAGGCAUAGACCUUUUAUCGUUAAAGCGACACGGGGGAUGGAAAUCCUCCAGCGUAGCAGAAGGAUACAUCGACGACUCGAUAUCCGAUAAGAAAAAAAUCGCCGAAAUGGUCCAAAGUUCAUUUACGACACAUUCACUCCCGUCAGCUUCAGUUUCAUUCCGGUCCACUUCCGUUUCAUUCCCGUCCACUUCUGUUUCAUUCCCGUCCACUUCCCGCGGUCCAGAGCACGAAAUUCUUAACUCCACGAUAGACAUACCUGCAGCCAGUUUUUCCAAUUCAAGUACAAAGACAGGGACUGCUGGUAUCAAUAUGACGUGCCACAAUUGCACCAUCAACUAUUAUUUUAAUAAGAAUUAAAUGUUUCCUUACCGUUAAUAUUGUUAUAAGUUGUAAUAUUUCAGUUAUUAAAUUGUUUUAGUAUCACUAAGUAAUUUAUCGUCAAUUACACCGACAAUAAUCAAUUCAGGGUUCGGAAAUCAUUCCAGGGCAUAAUUUAAAAGCAAAUUUUCCAAAAUGAUCGUUUUCAGGUUAUGUCGCAUUUUUUCUGACAGUUGUGGAGAGUUGUCAUAUUAGGUGGCCAACUUCACGUUUACAUUAUUGACCAAGGUUCACAAUUUUCCAAAUUACAGACCUCUAGACAAGUCGACAAUUAGCCAUUGUAAUGCUACUAGUGGAAAAAAUAUAUUAAUUAAACAAACAUAUACCUUGUAUUUAUAUUGAACAACAUUUACAUAGAUAUAUGAAAAAGAGAUAAUAUGAAGGAUACACACAGUGGGGAGGAGCGAAUCAAAUUUGAAUAUUAUUAUGAACUUGAUGAUUUAUUAGGGAAAAAACCUAAUGUUGAACCUUUAGCCAUCGCGUCGUCAAGUCGUGAAAAUACUUCCCUUGAAAGCUUUACAGACGAUGAUGAUGAGCCACCACAGAAAAAAAAAAGAAGUGACAAGAAUGACUCUUUAAUGAGAGAACUUUUAAAUAACGUUAAACAGAAAGAUGAAGCUAGAGAGAGACGCCACCAAGAAAUGAGAGAAUGGAAAGAAAAAACUUUGGAAGUAUUUAAGGAUGCUAUGGCGAGUUUGUUAAAAAAACUUUAAAGUUAAAAAAUAUUUAUUUAUUCUAUUACCAGAGGGGUAGUUAUGUUUGUGUUUUCUUUAUCUCUUAUUAUUAUUAUUAUUAUUGAUAUAGUAGGUAAUACCUAGUAGCAUAAUGUUAUCUACUUUAAUAGAAAUAUUUAUUUUAUUUGAUUAUACGUUUACAAAACUAAUAUUAAUAAAAUUUGUUGU
This is an RNA transcript of Zophobas morio, 5922 nucleotides long. RefSeq lists it as uncharacterized. The record is from RefSeq and is a predicted model, not a curated record. The transcript has 4 exons. NCBI's taxonomy places the organism in Eukaryota, Metazoa, Arthropoda, Insecta, Coleoptera, Tenebrionidae.